Anthonomus grandis grandis is the source of this 594-nucleotide long non-coding RNA. RefSeq lists it as uncharacterized. NCBI's taxonomy places the organism in Eukaryota, Metazoa, Arthropoda, Insecta, Coleoptera, Curculionidae. The transcript has 3 exons. The record is from RefSeq and is a predicted model, not a curated record.
GAAAAUUUCAUCCGUUAAUAAAAAUUGUGUGUAGUCACUUGUAUAAUGUUGAAAAACCUAAACAGAUGGACCUGCAAAGCAGAACAUUUUUCAUAUCUGUCACUAGCUUCACACACGAUUUUAACAUUUAACAGAUUCGAGUUGGAAGAUAUCUAAUGACGAUAUCCUUAUAACAAACUACGCCCAGUACGCUACACUAAAUUACAUUUAUAUUUGAUUUCUGACAGUUUGAAACAAUUCAUUGCAGCUGUAAAUAAGGCUCUAAUACUUUAUGCUGCAGUUGCUAUGCAGGAUGUAUAAUAAAAAAUAUUAAAAAAAAAGAAAAAGAAGGAAAGGAGAAGAUUGACAACUAGGGUGAGAGAAUCCACUAUACAAAGGAGCAAGGAUUAAUUAAAUUAAGAUCCUUUUUUUCGUUCAAGCAUUUGGUAUACAAUUACCUGCAUUCAUGCGAUUUUUUUAGAAAAUAGUUAUUUUAUGCCAAGAAAAAAUGGACUUAUCCAUAACAAAAAAAUAGUACAAUCAUUUCAAUUUUUAUUGAUAAAUAGAAAUGAAAAAUUAAAAGUGCAUAUUUGCUAUUUACUCAAAAAUUCACUG